Molecule: ribosomal RNA, 485 nt
Filed under: uncultured bacterium
Lineage: Bacteria
Also listed under: 1 other name
Description: bacterial SSU rRNA
Rfam family: Bacterial small subunit ribosomal RNA
Source: RNAcentral
GACGAACGCUGGCGGCGUGCUUAAUACAUGCAAGUCGAGCGGUGAACCUGACUGAAAGCCUUCGGGCUUGACGUUGGGGGAUCAGCGGCGGAUGGGUGAGUAACGCGUGGGUACCUGCCCUAAAGUCUGGGAUAACAACUCGAAAGGGUUGCUAAUACCGGAUGUGACCGAGAGGUUAAAGGCAGAGAUGUCGCUUUAGGAUGGGCCCGCGUCCCAUUAGCUAGUUGGUGAGGUAAGGGCUCACCAAGGCUGCGAUGGGUAGCCGGCCUGAGAGGGUGGACGGCCACACUGGGACUGAGACACGGCCCAGACUCCUACGGGAGGCAGCAGUAGGGAAUUUUCCGCAAUGGACGGAAGUCUGACGGAGCGACGCCGCGUGGGGGAAGAAGGCCUUCGGGUUGUAAACCUCUGUCUUCAGGGACGAAGAGGGUGUGGGAGACACACCGAAGCCGGUACCUGAGGAGGAAGCCCCGGCUAACUACGUG